GCCUGGGUGGCUCAGUCAGUUGAGCAUCUGACUUUGGCUCAGGUCACAAUCUCAAGUUUGUGAGUUCGAGCCCCUCAUCGGGCU
This 84-nucleotide transfer RNA is filed under the name Felis catus (domestic cat). It matches the Rfam family "tRNA". From Rfam's summary of the family: Transfer RNA (tRNA) molecules are approximately 80 nucleotides in length. Their secondary structure includes four short double-helical elements and three loops (D, anti-codon, and T loops). The record is from Rfam by way of RNAcentral. Lineage: Eukaryota; Metazoa; Chordata; Mammalia; Carnivora; Felidae.